Molecule: long non-coding RNA, 995 nt
Filed under: Homo sapiens (human)
Lineage: Eukaryota; Metazoa; Chordata; Mammalia; Primates; Hominidae
Description: long independently transcribed non-coding RNA 1229 (LINC01229)
Source: RNAcentral
GACCUCAGGAUCCACCAGCAGCCCAAGACACCUCGGAAGCUGUUUCAAGGACAAGCGUCGCCUGCACACGUCAGCACAAAUGGGAACAUGAUGAGUGAUGCUGCCUGGAGUUAAAGGAGGCCAGGAGCACCAGAAGCUGGAGGAGGCCGGGGUGGAUUCUCGCCUGGAGGCUUCAGUGGGAGCACGAGCUCCCGACACUUCGGUUCCAUCUCUUGUUUAAAGGCACCCAGUUUCUCAUCAUUUGUUACAGCACCAUGGAAAACCCACACACAAGUGAAGCCCCGACCCACCUCCCAAGUGCCCAUCUGAGCACCCCUCGUGGACUCUGAGCAGGGGGUUGCCAUCACCAACUCCAAGUCUUGCAGCCCCUCUUCCCUUCAGUCUGGCUGCCACCUUCUUCAUUGCCCUGGAAAAAAAUAAUGAAGUUUCACCAUUUAAAGGGUUUCAGUGCAGCUUGCUAUGGGAACACUGGAGAGUAACACAAAUGGCCAAUUGUCCUAAUAGCCACCAUGGAUUGGAUGGAUGCUAACAACAGGCUCACAGUUCUCCUUCUGUUGCCUCCUUUUAUCCACAUGAGAAUCAAACAAGUAGGUGCUGCUGGUAUUACUGUAUUUUUCUCAUUUUAAAGAUCAGGAUGGGGAGGGUUGAGGAGGUUAAGGAAGUUGUUAGAAGUUACACUGAAGUUAAGAAAGGAAAAAGGACUUAGAAACUUAUUCUUCCAACUUUAGAACCACGGUCAGUGACCAAGGCCCUGCUUAGAACUUUCUGAAGGUUGCAGCUGGCCUUCUACCUGGAGUUUUGACUUCCUUUCCGAGAAAGGAACUUGAAUGGCAAUCACAAGAAAGUUGAGAACUUCUCUUUCAUAUUUUAAGCAUUCAUUUUUUUUUAUAUUUAUUUUAAUUUACAAAUACUAAUUGUAUAUAUGUAUAAGGUAAGAUAUGAUAGUUUGAUAUGGCUACCUUGUAAUAAAAUGAGCCUCAUUACCAAAAAAAAAA